UCUUGACUAGUAUAUCGGUUAGUACACGCGCUUGUCAUUAUUCAUUGAGUAUACCACUGCGCGCGAAAGCUGGGUUCGACUCCCAGGUCGAGAG
Mycena galopus ATCC 62051 is the source of this 94-nucleotide non-coding RNA. Lineage: Eukaryota; Fungi; Basidiomycota; Agaricomycetes; Agaricales; Mycenaceae. The record is from the annotation of a GenBank genome assembly.